GUACGUACGAUUUUUUUUCUUCAAAAUGCACAGGUGAAUUUUUUUCUUUUUCGCCAACUUUUGUAGUUGAUUCGGGAAUUAAGAUGUAUGAUGAUUGAAAGUAUAAAAAAAAAUAAUAAUUUCUUUCAUUAUGGAUAGGUAUUAAAAAAUGCUCUAUCUACUAUGUUAAAUUAUUCAUCGCAAAUACAAUACUAUAUAAUAAGCAUCAGGUAAGUGAAUAUAGUACAUUAUUGUUUUAAACAAAAUUGUUUUUAGUUGUUGCCUAUAUAAUAUCAU
Molecule: non-coding RNA, 276 nt
Organism: Cinara cedri
Lineage: Eukaryota; Metazoa; Arthropoda; Insecta; Hemiptera; Aphididae
Source: the annotation of a GenBank genome assembly